UCACAAAAAAAAAGAUUCAUGAAUGCAAAGAGUAGAGUUAAGUUCUUAUAUUGGGAUUGGAGAUGGGAUUACCAUGAGAGCUUCAUUUGAUAUACUCUGGGUAGAUGGGAUCUUAUCUCUGUAUGCAUAGCUUGGGACUUACCUUUAUCAUUCUACUAAAGCUUAAUUAUUUUUUGAGAGAUCCCCUAUUACUGAAGCCUAUUCUGUAAGGGACCAUCUUUGUCUCUUGACAUUUUACCUUAGCCAAAUGAGUUCAUUGAUGAUGCAUUGCUUGAUUCACGUUCCAGAACUAAUGAAUGUUAAAGGGAUUGGUAGAUUUGAAAACAUGUGUAGGCCGAGCAUAUGAGUCGGAUUGAUUGAUAAUAAGGCAUGACUAACGUUUUUGAGUAGACUUCGAUCAUAUCGCAGCUUAGGAUUAUCAACUUGGACAUUGAUUUCAUCUAGUUUAUCUAGUGUUUUGACUCUGAGUCCCCGCUUUCAAACUGCACUUCCAGCUUGUUCUUAAUUGUUUGCUUGAGGGCAAGCAAAGACUAAGUUUAGGGGAGUUGAUAAGUGUGUAUUUUGCAUGUUUUGAGCAUCCAUUUGUCAUCACUUUAGCAUCAUAUCAUCACUGUUUUAUAUCAUUUCUCAUCAUUCGUCAUCACUUUGCAUGUUUAGGAUAGGUUUGCAUACAUAUUGCAUAUUUCUGUUGAUUUCUGGUGAUUUGGAGCUGUUGACGAGCUAAUUGGAAGAAGCGGACCUGAUCAUGUCAAACCACUCGACCCCCAGGUCGAGUAGACGCUUCACGACCUCAACAGAACACUCGAUCCCCUGUUCGAGUAGUGUCCUUCACCAUUUCACCUCAUCACUCGACUCCCUAGCCGAGUACCACCACGAGAAACACUCGAUCACAUCACUCGACCCCGAGGCCGAGUGUCUUCACCUCCACAACAUGACCAUCACUCGAUCACAUCACUCGACCCCGAGGUCGAGUGUCUUCACCUCCACUAACUGAUCAUCACUCGAUCACACCAUCUACCUGGAAGUCGAGUAUCACCAUCAUCACCACUCGACUACAUACUUGAUGGCGAGCUUCAGAGUCUUCUCCAUUCCGCACUCAACCAGACACUCGAGCACAAGGAAGAAAAAAAGACUCUAGCUUAUCACUCGACCUCUCACUCGACCACCUGGGUCGAGUACUGUUCUUAAUCCGUCCCAAUACUGCGUCGUUUUAAGUAUUAGGGUUUCGGAAUAUUUUGCUAUAACUAGCAUGUACUAUACAUUUUCGAGAACAAGUUUUUAUCUAGUUUUAUUCCGGAGACACUGUGUUCUAGACCUUUUGUAAUCCGAAUUUCUCUAUAUAUAUUCAGUAUUCAGUAUUCAGUAUUUGUUCUUGAUUUCAGUUAAUGUUGUUCAUCCUCUUAUCAUUUUGCUAUUACACUGUUGUUAUCAUGUUUUCAUCCUGUUAAACGUUUAUGUUCUCUGCUAAUGAUGUCCGAGUAGUGAAUAGGUUUCUGAGGAUGGGUUAGAGUAGUGUAGAAUUCUCAGUAUGCUAGGUGGUUGAGUAUUGAUUGAUAGAUCCCUUCUGAAUUAGUUGUUCUUAAUGCCUAUUGCUUUCUGAUCAACUGGAAUUUGAGCCCAGACAUUUCCGCGCCCAAAAGGUGUUCGAUGAAAUGUCUGAACUACUAAUUCCAGAGAUUCGUGGCCCUGUACCAAGGUAUUGGUUGCAGGGAGCGUUUUGGCUUUAACUUGUUGAUUCGUAAUGCCUGUUAGGUUAGCUCUCGUCAAUGGUGAUUGAGUCUGGGACUAGGUUAACUUGAGGGUCUCUGUUGCGGUGGCACUUAGAUUUGGUUAAUGAACUUGUUGUCUAGGGAUAGUUUAUUGAGCAUGUCAAUCACCUGUAAACUGAGGAAACGAAACUACUCAGUUAACCCAUCCUCCGGAAUUCUUUAUCUAAUUGAUUUUAUUGUUUUCUCUACUGUUGUUUACUCCAUCUUGUUACAUGUUGUUUAGUUUUUGUAUUUCUCUCCUGUUACUCGACCUGAUACUCGACCACCCAGUUGUCUGGCAACAGACUGUGCAGUCGAGUGUCUCUGUUUUGUUUACUGCCUGUUACUCGACCAAGUCACUCGACCACAUCCAGUGCUCUACAACGAGUUGUGUUGGUCGAGUGUUUUACUGUUUCUGUUUUCUGCAUGUUCACUUAGGACUGCUAGAACACACCAAAACUUGUUAUUGCUUGGCUUGACUUAGUGACUUUUGAUCACGUCUUGAUUGUUAGCAUCACACCCAUUUGGAUUGACAACCUUCAGUACUACAACGACAUGAUAGUGCUUUAGGAUUAAUUGAUCUUAAGAACCUAUUAUCAAUAUCAAUAGAGGUGUUCAUGGAUGAUUUUUUCCAUGUAUGGCUCUUCCGUCUCCUCCUAUUUGUUGAACAUGUGCAGGGUACUCAAAAGAUGUGAGGAGACAAACCUGGUGCUGAACUCGGAGAAAUGCCAUUUCAUGGUUAUAGAAGGCAUCGUUUUGGGAUACAAGAUUUUGGAGGAGGGGAUAGAGGUUGAUAAGGCUAAGGUUGAUGUGAUGAUGUAGUUACAGUCGCCAAAGACUGUCAAGGACAACGGGAAUUUUCUUGGGCAUGCAGGGUUUUACAGAAGAUUCAUCAAAGAUUUUUCCAAGUUGCCCAGACCCUCACGAGAGUGUUCUACAAGGAAACCAAGUUUACAUUUGAUGAAGAAUGUUUGACAGCCUUUAAGUUGAUCUACGAAGCUUUGGUCACUUCUCCAAUAAUCCAAGCUCCAAACUGGGACUACCCGUUUGAGAUCAUGUGUGAUGCUUCAGAUUUUGCAGUAGGAGCAGUUUUGGGUCAGUGGAUUCAUA
This 2858-nucleotide small RNA is filed under the name Arabidopsis thaliana (thale cress). RNAcentral's name for it is "ATSL095910". Lineage: Eukaryota; Viridiplantae; Streptophyta; Magnoliopsida; Brassicales; Brassicaceae. The record is from RNAcentral.